This 301-nucleotide ribosomal RNA is filed under the name uncultured bacterium. RNAcentral describes it as "partial 16S ribosomal RNA". It matches the Rfam family "Bacterial small subunit ribosomal RNA", at positions 509 to 807 of the family's 1533-position model. The record is from RNAcentral.
CAGUAGCCGCGGUAAUACGGAGGGAGCUAGCGUUGUUCGGAAUUACUGGGCGUAAAGCGCGCGUAGGCGGUUACUCAAGUCAGAGGUGAAAGCCCGGGGCUCAACCCCGGAACUGCCUUUGAAACUAGGUGACUAGAAUCUUGGAGAGGUCAGUGGAAUUCCGAGUGUAGAGGUGAAAUUCGUAGAUAUUCGCAGGAACACCAGUGGCGAAGGCGGCUAACUGGUCCAUAACUGACGCUGAGGUGCGAAAGCGUGGGGAGCAAACAGGAUUAGAUACCCCUGUAGUCCCUGUCUCUUAUAC